RNAcentral lists this ribosomal RNA (451 nucleotides) under uncultured archaeon. Its description in RNAcentral is "bacterial SSU rRNA". It matches the Rfam family "Archaeal small subunit ribosomal RNA", at positions 122 to 564 of the family's 1478-position model. The record is from RNAcentral.
GUACAUACAAGCGGUGCAACCGUAUUAUAACCUAUGGAUGAAUACUGGGAACUGAAUUACCAAUGGGCCAAGCCUGAAUGGCGGUUGAUGAUACCUGUAAUGACUGGCUCACUUGUGUAGUAAUGGCCACAAGCUAUAACAGGUAACGGGCUCCCNUUUGGAGAGGAGGGCCCGGAAUGGUACUGGAGACACGGACCCANGGCCCUAUGGGGCGCAGCAGGGCGGAAGAAACCUUUGCAUGUUGCGAAAGCACCGGACAAGGUUAAUCCGAGUGUCUCCUGCUAAAGGAGUCUUUUGUCAGUUGUAGAAUCACUGGCGAAUAAGGGGUGGGCAAGUUCUGGUGUCAGCCGCCGCGGUAAAACCAGCACCUCGAGUGGUCAGGAGGUUUAUUGGGCCUAAAGCAUCCGUAGCCGGUUGCAUAAGUUUUCGGUUAAAUCUAUGCGCUCCAACG